CCGUUGAAAAAGGUUUGGGAUGACCUGUGGAUAGGGGUGAAAAGGCCAAUCAAACUCGGAAAUAGCUGGUUCUCCGCGAAAUCUAUUUAGGUAGAGCGCCGGAUGUUCACCGUUGGGGGUAGAGCACUGGAUGGGCUAGGGGGGAGCGAUCCUUACCAAACCUAACCAAACUCCGAAUACCAACGGGUUAUAGUCCGGCAGACAGACGGCGGGUGCUAAGGUUCGUCGUCGAGAGGGGAAGAGCCCAGACCGCCAGCUAAGGUCCCCAAGUCAUGGCUAAGUGGGAAAGGAUGUGGGAAGGCCAAGACAGCCAGGAGGUUGGCUUAGAAGCAGCCAUCCUUUAAAGAAAGCGUAAUAGCUCACUGGUCUAGUUAAGCCGUCCUGCGCCGAAAAUGUAACGGGGC
Molecule: ribosomal RNA, 404 nt
Filed under: uncultured bacterium
Lineage: Bacteria
Description: bacterial LSU rRNA
Rfam family: Bacterial large subunit ribosomal RNA
Source: RNAcentral